Molecule: RNA transcript, 5975 nt
Organism: Myxocyprinus asiaticus (Chinese sucker)
Lineage: Eukaryota; Metazoa; Chordata; Actinopteri; Cypriniformes; Catostomidae
Gene name: WD repeat-containing protein 26-like
Exons: 15
Source: RefSeq, a predicted model, not a curated record
UUUGCUUUUGUGUAUAUUAUAUUUGCCAAAUAAUAUAAUUAAGGUUCAAAAUGAAAUUUACAGAUUCUUUCUGGUCCUUUCAAGUUCUGUUUACUAAUCAUCUAUGCGAAUUGAUUUUUUAUUUAUUUAUUUUUUUUAAUGUCAAAAACCAGGAACAUUUGAUAAAAUGUGUUUUCAAGAGUAUAACGUGGUCAUUUUCUGCAGUACACCUUUGUAACGUCACCUAUAUCAACGAGUUCAAGGUUGUUGCGGCGCUUUCGGUGACAUCAUCGCGCACAGACGUCUGAAAUGGACUUGCAGCUGUUCUUUGACAAACAAUAACAAGAGCGGCGAGCGAACAGCGACGGCUCUCGUAUCUGUAACCGCGGUGAAAUUAAUCGUGCAAGGCAACACCACUCGGACAUUGCCGGGGGGGAAAUUCUAGCCCCCUCCACCGACUUGGAGACCGGCGGAGCUUCGCCGCCCCCGCGGAAGAAAAGCCGAGUUUCGGCGGCGGAGGGAGCAGGAGCGAGCGGUGCGUCUGUUGCCGGGAUCACGGGCCUCUCGGCGGCUUCUCUCCCAACCCCCCACCAGCACUCAUUCAUACGGCUCAAUAACAGCCCACCACCGCUCAGAUCAUAUAAACGCGUUGUACAAACAUGCAGACCAACGGGACCGGAGGACAAGAGCCGGAACUGCAGCUGUCGUGCAGGAACGGAGAGCCUUCGUCCUCCACAGCAGGAGCUUUGCACUCCAACGGACUGCCGUCCUCCGCUAAUAACGGGCUGCCGUCCACCGAGAGCCCGGCAUCGGACACCAGCAUGAAGAAGAAGAAACGACUGUCCCAGAGCGAUGAGGAUGUGAUCAGACUGAUUGGACAGCACCUACACGGGCUAGGACUCGAUCAAACUGUGGACCUGUUGAUGCAGGAGUCAGGCUGUAGACUUGAACAUCCAGCUGCUACCAAGUUCCGGAAUCAUGUGAUGGAGGGAGAGUGGGAAAAGGCUGAGAGUGACCUCAACGAGCUGAAGACACUGAUGCAUUCACCCAGCGCUGUUGUGCGGAUGAAGUUUUUGCUCCUGCAGCAGAAGUAUCUGGAGUAUCUAGAGGAUGGGAAGGUUCUGGAAGCUCUGCAUGUGCUCAGAGCUGAGCUCACCCCACUGAAGUACAACACUGAACGCAUCCACGUGCUCAGCGGGUACCUGAUGUGCAGUCACUCUGAUGAUCUGUGCGCUAAGGCUGAGUGGGAGGGGAAAGGAACGGUCUCGCGAUCCAAACUCCUCGACAAGCUGCAGACGUAUCUGCCCCCGUCUGUGAUGCUGCCGCCCCGUCGUCUUCAGACUCUUUUGCGUCAGGCAGUGGAGCUGCAGAGAGAUCGCUGUCUGUACCACAACACCAAACUGGACAGUGGGCUGGACUCAGUGUCUCUGCUCAUAGACCACGUGUGCAGCAGGAAACAGUUCCCCUGCUACACCCAACAGAUCUUGACAGAGCACUGCAAUGAAGUCUGGUUCUGUAAAUUCUCCAAUGAUGGCACCAAACUGGCCUCUGGAUCCAAAGACACAACAGUCAUUUUAUGGCAGGUCAACCCUGAGACUCACCAGCUCAAGCAGUUGAAGACCCUGGAGGGUCAUGCCUAUGGGGUUUCCUAUUUGGCCUGGAGCCCUGACGACACUUAUUUGAUAGCCUGCGGCCCAGACGACUGCUCUGAGCUCUGGCUCUGGAACGUUCAGACAGGGGAGCUGAGAACUAAAAUGAGUCAGUCUCAUGAGGACAGCCUGACCAGUGUGGCCUGGAACCCAGACGGCAAGCGUUUCGUUACCGGAGGGCAGAGAGGCCAGUUCUACCAGUGUGAUCUGGAUGGAAAUCUUCUGGACUCGUGGGAGGGUGUGCGUGUGCAGUGCCUGUGGUGUUUGAGUGACGGCAGAACAGUCCUCGCCUCUGAUACACACCAGCGGAUCCGUGGAUAUAACUUUGAAGAUCUGACUGACAGGAACAUUGUUCAAGAGGACCACCCCAUAAUGUCCUUCACCGUGUCAAAGAAUGGAAGAUUAGCUCUGUUAAAUGUCGCAACUCAGGGAGUUCAUCUGUGGGACCUUCAGGACCGGGUUUUAGUCAGGAAGUACCAGGGUGUGACUCAGGGCUUCUAUACCAUCCACUCUUGCUUCGGCGGCUAUAACGAAGACUUUAUUGCGAGUGGCAGUGAAGAUCACAAAGUUUACAUCUGGCACAAGCGCAGCGAGCUGCCCAUUGCAGAGCUGACGGGUCACACGCGCACAGUGAACUGCGUGAGCUGGAACCCAGUGCUCUGGGGCAUGAUGGCCAGCGCCUCAGACGAUGGCACUGUACGGGUCUGGGGUCCCGCCCCCUUUCUGGACUCGCAGGAGACCGAAGGGCUAAAUGGGCUGUCCGCAACCAGGAGAUGACAGAGGAGGAUCAAGUAACCAUGAGUUAACUCCCCAGUUUACAUCAGUAAAACGAAUGCUACAGCAGGGACAGUUGAUGUUGACUCUGGAGCAGAUGUCCACUUUGGAAAAUUUACAGUGAGACACACUAUAGACUUUGUGAAUGAAGAAUGAAAACAUGAUGUAGAAAACAACGGCAGAUGGAUGUUCUUUUCUGGCGGUUUCACAUCCCCAACUCACAAUGGAUUGGCAGCGUUCGCCACCAGAGACGUCAAUUCACUUGAAUUAAUAUGAAGCCGGCUGCUGCCCUUCACCACCUGACUUCAAAACCAUGUGGCACCAAACGGUCAUGCCACACCCCUCACUGAGGACAUGCCCAUCUCGGUUUAAGCUCCUCCUCCUUUCUACCCUGCAUCCUGAGUGGACGACUGACUCCUGAAACCACACGCACACAUACAAAAACAAACGUCUUUUAAAACGUUAUUUAUUACGGCUUUAAUUUAUUAUUGUGAACGAAUCAAGGCCUCAGGCUCGCCUUCUGUUCUGUACAAUAAUCAAACACACAAAAAUGUCAUUUUUCUGGCAUGUGUGCACCGAAACUUCUCCGGCCAUAAAAUGGGGUGGCACGGUCUCAAAGACUAUUACAUUAAUGGAGGUGUUCUAUAGAGAACAAAUCAUAUCUUUAUUUUUCAGCAUGAACUCUUGUGCCCUUUUAGCCACCUCUGUGACAACGUAUGCUUGAAAGUGUCUUCACCAGCAGAUAGAGAUAUAUAUAUAUAUAUAUAUAUAUAUAUAUAUAUAUAUAUAUAUAUAUAUACAGUAUUUUGUUUUCCUCCAUGACUUAACGUCAAUUUUAAAUGACUGAAUUUACAGGCAUUUUUUAACAGCUUGAUAUCAUCUUUUGUUUAGAGAAUUCCAAUCAAGACCCCAAAUCAUAAUUUUGUCCCUCUGUUCAUGAUUACAGUACUUUAUUUUAUUCUAUAAUGUGGUCAUUUUGAGAAGGGGAAUGUUUGCAAGAGUUGAUGGAUUAUUCAUAAUUUCUUAUUCGAAUACUUAAGAUGAGCCGACUCAGAUUCACCAGGAAAGAUACAUAACAGGACACAGUUAUGUUUUGUUAACAGGGUUGAAAAUUAACCCUCAACAGAUAAACCGAUACAUAUUUUAGACUGUGAGGCUUGCUUAGACUUGCAGCAGCAUGCUAAAUGUCCUGAUAACAACAAACUAAUGUCAUGUAAAUAUUGACCUUCAGCGUACAUACUUUGCCUUCGUAAAUGGCGAAUAGGUGUUUGUAUCAUAGUUGAAGUCAUUUUUGAAGUAAAUUUAUAGGCUUUUGGUCUGAGGCCUCAUCUACACCACUCCAUUUUCAUUUGAAAUCUCAGUUUUCAGUUUUCUAACGUCAUUGUUUUCCAAUGUGUGGGAAUGGUGAAUGUUUUUGAAACGCUCUUUUUUUUUUUUUUUGGUGGAGGAAAUCACUGUUCUAGUGAGGAUGAGAGAUGUAAAUGUUUUCAAUUGAAAAUAUGCCUAAUACUUUUUAGUUUGAAAACACAUUGAUUUCACUAUGUUUCUGCCUCUCAUCCACUCUAGAAUGGUACUUUCCUUUACUGAAAAACAUUCUCCAUAAAAAAAUUUUUUUUUUUAAAAACACAUUUGAGAACGAUUUAAAAAAAAAGGUGGAGGAAAGUGCUGUUCUAGUGUGGUUGAGAGGCACAAAAGUAGCGAAAUCGGUGCAUUUUCAAAUGAAAAUACAGCUAAUUCAUUUUCGGUUUUGCUGCGUUUAUAUUCUCAUCCACUCUAGAACGGCGCUUUCCUCCAUCGAAAACAGUGUUUCGAAAAUGUUGUCCAUUCCCACAUAAGCGUAGCAAAGUCAGCGCGUUUUCAAAAGAAAAUACAGCUAAUUCAUUUUCGGUUUUGCUGCAUUUACACCUCUCAUCCACUCUAGAAUGGUUCUUUCCUCCAUCGAAAACAGCAUUUCGAAAAUGUUCUCCAUUCCCACAUAAACAUAGCAAAAUCAGUGUGUAUUCAAAAGAAAAUAUGCCAAAUUCAUUUUCGUUUUGCUACGUUUACACCUCUCAUCCACUCUAGAAUGGUUCUUUCCUUUAUUGAAAACAGUGUUUCGAAAAUGUCCAUUCCCACGUAAACAUAGCAAAAUCAGUGCGUUUUCAAAAGAAAAUACGGCAAAUUAAUUUUUGUUUUGCUGCGUUUACACCUCUCAUCCACUCUAGAACGGCGCUUUCCUCCAUCGAAAACAGUGUUUCGAAAAAGUUAUCCAUUCCCACGUAAACAUAGCAAAGUCAGUGCAUUUUCAAAAGAAAAUAUGGCAAAUUCAUUUUCGUUUUGCUACGUUUACACCUCUCAUCCACUCUAGAAUGGUUCUUUCCUCCAUCGAAAACAGCAUUUCGAAAAUGUUCUCCAUUCCCCCAUAAGUGCGUUUUUAAAAGAAAAUACAGCUAAUUAAUUUUCGUUUAAAAACGCAUUGUUUACACCUUUCAUCCACACUAGAACGGCGCUUUCCUCCACCGAAAGAGGAGCAUUUUGAAAACGUUCUCCAUUCCCCCAUAGUUUGGAAAACUAUGACAUUAGUAAACUGAUUUGUGUGAACAUGGCUUGAGGGACGCUGGGGACAUAAGAACUAAAAUAUAUUGUUAUGGUUAAGUACACCAACACAUUGAAUGGACCCCCAAAUGUGAUUCUUGUGUACAUGUGUGGUCUGUGUUCCAUUAUAUUCGUUUCCCUCUCAUUCCAUAUUGUCCCCUUUCGGUGGUCUCAUUUUUGGAUUUCUUUGGAUGUUUUUUUUUUUUUUUAUCCUUUUCAGACAUAUAUGACUUUAUCACCUAUGAUUUCCUGUUUUAUUUGGGGUUGAUUUAUAAUUUUUCCACUUAUAUUAUCAUAUAGCGGAUGUCUUGGCAAGUGGCCUCUAAACUGCUUUUUUCUAUUUGUAAAUUUCUUAUACUUUCGUACCAUAUUACGCAUUAGUACAUGCAGGUGUACCCUAUAAUGAUUUAAUUAUUCAGAGCGAAAGAAACUUUGCCUACUAUGAUUUCUUCUGUAAUUAAGUGUUCAUCAUUUAUAUAUGAAGAAUCUAUAGAUAUAGAUAUAUAGAUAUAUAUAUACAUAUGUUUGUGCAUUUCUUGCCAUGCAUCCUCCCUUACAAAUGUUAACCGUUUCUCACCUGCAUCAGGUAAACUCCUCUGUACAGGUUAUUCGUACUCAGACCAGCAAAACCUGUUUUGUUUCUGAGGAGUGACACACACAAACGAAAAAAAAAAAAAAAAAAAACGGGUGCAUGCAGAAAACACGCCCUCACACAUGCGCUUCAACCAUGAAGAUAUCACGGAAUUGUGGUGUUGUGUUUCUGGUUUAUGCAACCUAACUUUCCUUUUCUUCUGAAUAUUUGUGUUUCAUUUGAGGUCUUGGAUUGACUUUCUUGUGCUAUGAGGGGUAACGGUAGCACCCUGGGCAGUCGAGUUCUGACAGAUCUGUUUUGCAUUUCAGUGUGUUAUUAUUCUUAGUGAUUGUACUAGUAUGUAAUGUCAUGUAGGAGAGGUGUUAUGUAUACAUAUUUUCAAUAAAGCAUUCAGGGUUUUAAACUAU